Larimichthys crocea (large yellow croaker) is the source of this 292-nucleotide long non-coding RNA. RefSeq lists it as uncharacterized. Lineage: Eukaryota; Metazoa; Chordata; Actinopteri; Sciaenidae. The transcript has 2 exons. The record is from RefSeq and is a predicted model, not a curated record.
AUUCAGGUCUCUCUUCUCCAUGAGGAGGAGUCAAUGCAAAACUCAGAUGUCUUCCACCUCUACUUAUCUGACUGCAGAGAGGAUGACAGAGAACAGUGGACACACAGUUUAACAUGAUGGACUAUAGGACAGGACUGCUGCUUUUAACUAUCUGCUGGGCAGGUGUUGAUGGUCAGACUCUGACAGAAUCUGAACCAGCUAAUAAAAGACCUGGAGAAUCUCACAAAUUGACCUGUACAGCCUCUGGAUUCACAUUCAGUAGCUACUGGAUGCACUGGGUUCGACAGGCUCC